RNAcentral lists this ribosomal RNA (253 nucleotides) under uncultured bacterium. RNAcentral's name for it is "partial 16S ribosomal RNA". It matches the Rfam family "Bacterial small subunit ribosomal RNA", at positions 524 to 776 of the family's 1533-position model. The record is from RNAcentral.
UACAGAGGGGGCAAGCGUUAUUCGGAAUUAUUGGGCGUAAAGGGCGCGUAGGCGGCUUUGCAAGUGACGGGUGAAAUCCCUCGGCUUAACCGAGGAACUGCCUGUCAAACUGCAUGGCUUGAGACCGGGAGAGGUGAGUGGAAUUCCCAGUGUAGCGGUGAAAUGCGUAGAUAUUAGGAAGAACACCGGUGGCGAAGGCGGCCCACUGGAUCGGUACUGACGCUGAGGUGCGAAAGCGUGGGGAGCAAACAGG